RNAcentral lists this ribosomal RNA (761 nucleotides) under Steroidobacter sp. Its description in RNAcentral is "bacterial SSU rRNA". It matches the Rfam family "Bacterial small subunit ribosomal RNA", at positions 70 to 824 of the family's 1533-position model. The record is from RNAcentral. Lineage: Bacteria; Pseudomonadati; Pseudomonadota; Gammaproteobacteria; Steroidobacterales; Steroidobacteraceae.
UAACAGGUGUAGCAAUACAUGCUGACGAGCGGCGGACGGGUGAGUAACGCUUGGGAAUCUGCCUGUUAGUGGGGGACAACCCGGGGAAACUCGGGCUAAUACCGCAUACGCACUACGGUGGAAAGCCGGGGACCGCAAGGCCUGGCGCUAACAGAUGAGCCCAAGUCGGAUUAGCUAGUUGGUAGGGUAACGGCCUACCAAGGCGACGAUCCGUAACUGGUCUGAGAGGACGACCAGUCACACCGGAACUGAGACACGGUCCGGACUCCUACGGGAGGCAGCAGUGGGGAAUAUUGGACAAUGGGGGAAACCCUGAUCCAGCGACGCCGCGUGGGUGAAGAAGGCCUGCGGGUUGUAAAGCCCUUUCGGUUGGGAAGAAAAGCUGCGACCUAACACGUCGCGGCCUUGACGUAACCAACUAAAGAAGCACCGGCUAACUCUGUGCCAGCAGCCGCGGUAAUACAGAGGGUGCGAGCGUUAAUCGGAAUUACUGGGCGUAAAGCGCGCGUAGGCGGCUUUGCAAGCCGGAUGUGAAAUCCCCGGGCUUAACCUGGGAACUGCAUUCGGGACUGCAUUGCUAGAGUAUGGGAGAGGGAAGUGGAAUUUCAGGUGUAGCGGUGAAAUGCGUAGAUAUCUGAAGGAACAUCAGUGGCGAAAGCGACUUCCUGGACCAAUACUGACGCUCAUGUGCGAAAGCGUGGGGAGCAAACAGGAUUAGAUACCCUGGUAGUCCACGCCAUAAACGAUGAGAACUGGAUGUC